This 3259-nucleotide long non-coding RNA is filed under the name Carica papaya (papaya). Its description in RNAcentral is "long non-coding RNA (CPAP_LNC010002)". The record is from RNAcentral. Lineage: Eukaryota; Viridiplantae; Streptophyta; Magnoliopsida; Brassicales; Caricaceae.
ACAAGGUACAAGACAUACUUAAUUGCUACACAUAUUAAUCCCGUAUAUAUUAAAUUUGUAAAAUUUGAUGGGAGCCAUAGUGAAGAUCAUACUAAUAAAAUUGCAACGCAUAUUAAUAUCCUAUAAAAAUUAUUUUUUUAAACAUUAAUUGUUAUAGAAUUUAAAUGACUAAAUUUAUAGGCGGUCCAUAAAAACAAUGUUGUUACUCAUAACUCACGCAUUAUCCAAGCCCAACACAGGCUCCUUCUCCACGGUGCCGUUUAACGCUGAAACAGAAGCAAAUGGACAUGAACGGUCGAGAGGAGAGAUAACACGCAGAGUGUAUUGAAGAAGCUUCUGGAGAAAUACAUGCGGCGGAGAAACGAGAAAGGAAGAGAGAAGCUGGCGGGCGAAUAUUUUUGGAGAGAGGAGAGUUGAUGAUUUCUGGGGAAGAAGAAGAUAACAGAAGGGAGAGGGUUUUUCCGAAUCAAUAUGGAGUCUUAUUAGGUUUUGUUAAAGGGGAGGAAGUGAUUGAAGAAGGAAACACAAAGAGGCUUUGGAAUAGGGUGGGUUAAUUUCGGAUUGGCUAUUAGUUUCCUUUGUCUUCUCCGUUUUUUGAAACCAGUUUGUUGGUACGCAUUUCAGUUUUCUGAUAGUUUGAGGUUUUUCCCCUGCUAAUAUGUGUUUUUCCUUUUUGUUAAGAAAAAUAACUACUCUGUUCUCUGAGAUUGAUUAGAAUAGGAUGAUCUUUUGGUUUUUGUAUUUUCUUCUUUCCCUUUAAUGUCAUUUGCUUACAGUCACUUAUAUUAGUUUUCAUAUUGUGAUUAUUCUCGUCUGGAUUUGGAGAAAUGAUUUUUAGUUUGUUGGAAGUAGAAUUUUAUGGUUUUCUUCUUGUAAGUUCUUUUCGGAAAUAAUUUCACCAUACAAAUUAUGAAAUAAAAGAAAGAACUAGAACACACACCAAAUAACUGGUUCAGGACCACUUCCACUUGGCUAACUCCAUGGGAACUUACUAUUAUUCCGAUCACUAUAAUAUACAAAGAGAAGUAGUAUAAACACCGCGCAGAAUUCUCACUCUUCGUUACACCUGGUACACAGACUCAAGUUAUCUUGUACUAGAUCUCAAUGUCUUAACAUUUUUUACCUCCCCCUUUAUUCUUGCAAUUCACUACACUCUCUCUACUCCCAUACAACAUGUGCUCCAUUUAGGGGAAAAAGAGGAAGGGAACAAAAGGUUGAGGUAGGUGGAAUAUCAUCCGCCAGGCACCACGCUCAAGUUAGAAGUCAACAUUUCUCCCUUUUACACUCAUAUAUGGUUACUUGGAAAAACAAAAACAAAACAAAUUACCAAAUCCUAACACACAGAUAAAUUUGGCCUUCCUUCAAAUUACAUCACCGCCAUCAAGCACCAAAUUUAUUGUGUUAUCAUUGUCGUUUUUCUUCUCUCCUUUACCUCUUUUCAACUGCUUGGAGGUUCUUAGAUUAUCUGCUUUGCAUUUUCCCAGUAGUAGCAUGCAUGUAUGUAUAUCUUAGUUGAGACUCUCCACGAGGGUGACCUCUCCCUCGUCAAUGACUCUUCUCCCUUGUCAUGAGUUCUUCACAACUAAAUUUUCCUUUAACAUAUUUUUCUCAUUCGCCUUAGUUGGUGACAUAAGAUAGGAACAUGGUUAAAUUUACUUGAUCUCNNNNNNNNNNNNNNNNNNNNNNNNNNNNNNNNNNNNNNNNNNNNNNNNNNNNNNNNNNNNNNNNNNNNNNNNNNNNNNNNNNNNNNNNNNNNNNNNNNNNNNNNNNNNNNNNNNNACAACUAAUUAGGAAUAGAAUUAAAAAUAAUACUGAACUAGCAACCUACUUAGAAAUGUGAAUCUAAAAAUAAAUAUCAAUGCUUUAAAUGAUAAUAAUACUAGUAGCAUUUCUAUAAUGCUUCUUUGUAUCAUUCUCCCCCACUUAAAGAAAACUUGUCUUCGAGUUUUGAAAUGUCCAAAAAUAAUAGAACUCAAUCGAUGCACAUUUGAAAAAUUUUGUUGGAAAUCCUUUGACUUGUUGCUCUUAUGAGGAAAAAUAUUUGGCAACAGAAAUAUGAUUGAAGGUUGAUAAAACCAAGAUGGUCGAACAAACUUAAAAAAAUUAAAAACUUUCUUUCUUGGUUUGCUCAUUAGAUUCAAUAUCAAUAGCCUUAUAUCCUAUAAAAAAAUCAAUAACUUUAUCAUAUUUUCAAGAAAAAAAUCAAUAGCUUUAUCUUUCCAUGAAGCAUGUUUAUUAGUUGUAGGAUUAUUUUUACCAUGAAGUUGAUCAUCUUCUUGUUCUUGGGCUUGCGACUUACUUUACUCCUCUACUUGUUCUUGUAUUAUUUCUUCUACUUGAUUUUCCAUCCCUUCUUCAUAUAGCUCAAGCUCUUGUCAUGACUUUUCAUUUUCCAUUUCUUUUUACCAUGCGUAAAAUGCCUGUAAGCUUGGCCAGAAGGAGUUACUGUUUCUACAUCAGCAACUGUUGAUUUGUUAGGACUCAUAACUUAUUAAUUUAAUAUGAGAUGAGCCUGAAACUUAUUUUAUGCUCAUGUUAAUUAAGAUUUGUUUUGUGUUUGAUUGGUUAUUGAUUUUUACCUUAAUUAAUUUUACUAUAUUUAUCUAUGGAUUUUUUGAUGUCAGAAAAUACUACACGAAUGAGCAAUUAACCCAAAACAGGAAUUGGUGGCUAAAUUGUCAAUGUUUUAUUCCUAUUAUUUCUCACUUCAUUUUCUGUUACAUUACAAAAGUUUACGAGAAAUUUUCUGAACUUCUUCUACUGCUUUUAUUUAUUGAAGAGGCUGGUUUUUAUAGAGAAACAUGAGAAUAAACCUGUCACUGAAUCUCGGAUUAAAAAAGUAAAAAGAAUUUGCUUGAUUUAAGGGACAAACUUUGACUAGAUAAGGUAUGGAGAUAUUAGAUAUCUCCUUAUUAAAAAAUACUGGAAUUAGUAUCCCAAAAAUCAUAAAUAAACUAGGAAUUGAUCUCUUGGCUGAUUUAUCCCUAGCAAUUAGGAAUUAAUCUCUUUGCUGAUUUUUCUCACUUACCGAUGCUCCCACUUAAGCUGCUGCAUAGAUAUCUAUCAUGCACAAGGUGCUGAAAAGUUCUUUUGUGAGAAUAUUAGGUAUUUAUUGUGAUAUUGGAACAAAUUGCAUGCAUAUAACUCAUGCUUCAAACUUUUCCUUUAUUAUGUGCUUGUUAAUUUCAACAUGCUUUUUUCUAUCGUAUUGAACUGCACUGUGCGUAAUGCUAAUAGCUGUUAUGUUGUCAUAGUACAG